Gymnodraco acuticeps is the source of this 520-nucleotide long non-coding RNA. RefSeq lists it as uncharacterized. The record is from RefSeq and is a predicted model, not a curated record. The transcript is spliced from 3 exons. Lineage: Eukaryota; Metazoa; Chordata; Actinopteri; Perciformes; Bathydraconidae.
CGUCACUAUGUGAGGGAACACGAAGGUAACUUCGUCACUAUGUGAGGGAACACGAAGGUAACUUCGUCUCUAUGUGAGGGAACACAAAGGUAACUUUGUCACUAUGUGAGAGAACACGAAGGUAACUUCGUCACUAUGUCAGGGAACACGAAGGUAACUUUGUCACUAUGUCAGGGAACACGAAGGUAACUUCGUCACUAUGUCAGGGAACACGAAGGUAACUUCGUCACUAUGUCAGGGAACACGAAGGUAACUUCGUCACUAUGUCAGGGAACACGAAGGUAACUUCGUCACUAUGUCAGGGAACACGAAGAUAACUUCGUCACUAUGUCAGAGAACACGAAGGUAACUUCGUCACUAUGUGAGGGAACACGAAGGUAACUUCGUCACUAUGUCAGGGAACACGAAGGUAACUUCGUCACUAUGUCAGGGAACACAAAGGUAACUUCGUCACUAUGUGAGGGAACACGAAGGUAACUUCGUCACUAUGUCAGGGAACAUGAAGGUAACUUUGUCACUA